UCUCGAAUAGCUUAACCGGUAGAGCCUUUAGCGCGUAACCAAAUGGUCCGGGUUCGACUCCCGGUCUGGGUU
RNAcentral lists this transfer RNA (72 nucleotides) under Cotesia glomerata. RNAcentral's name for it is "tRNA-Thr". It matches the Rfam family "tRNA". From Rfam's summary of the family: Transfer RNA (tRNA) molecules are approximately 80 nucleotides in length. The record is from RNAcentral. Lineage: Eukaryota; Metazoa; Arthropoda; Insecta; Hymenoptera; Braconidae.